CCUGGUAGCGGGGGAUAACUAUUGGAAACGAUAGCUAAUACCGCAUAACAGUAGAUAUCGCAUGAUAUGUGCUUGAAAGGUGCAAUUGCAUCACUACCAGAUGGACCUGCGUUGUAUUAGCUAGUUGGUGAGGUAGCGGCUCACCAAGGCAACGAUACAUAGCCGACCUGAGAGGGUGAUCGGCCACACUGGGACUGAGACACGGCCCAG
RNAcentral lists this ribosomal RNA (210 nucleotides) under uncultured bacterium. Its description in RNAcentral is "partial 16S ribosomal RNA". It matches the Rfam family "Bacterial small subunit ribosomal RNA", at positions 129 to 334 of the family's 1533-position model. The record is from RNAcentral.